This is a long non-coding RNA of Erinaceus europaeus (western European hedgehog), 444 nucleotides long. RefSeq lists it as uncharacterized. NCBI's taxonomy places the organism in Eukaryota, Metazoa, Chordata, Mammalia, Eulipotyphla, Erinaceidae. The transcript has 3 exons. The record is from RefSeq and is a predicted model, not a curated record.
CGCCCGGCCCGCCCGCCGGGGCCUGGGGGCGGGGCCGCCUGCCAGUGUUUUUCCAGUUCCCGGGGCAGCUCGCCGCGUUGCUCACAAGAGGGGAAGCUGGGCCCAGGCCAGUGUCAGGGCACCAGAGGCCCCGGCGGCCUGCGGGGCUGCCAAGCGCAGGGCCCGGCCAGGGCAGAGGUGGGCGAGGAGAACCCUGAGAGUAAGUGAACAUGGUGGUUUAGCUGACCUUGGAGGCCUAUCCAGCUUCAGCGUUCUCAGAACCUCUCUUGCCACCAGGUUCCAGAUGCUAACAUGAUGCCGACCAGACUUCCCUGGACAGAUGACCCGACCAAUAUGUCCUGGAGCUCCGAUUCCCAGAGCCCCACGCUACUAGGGAAAGAGAGAGACAGGCUGGGAGUAUGGAUCGACCAGUCAACGCCCAUGUUCAGUGGGGAAGCAAUUAUA